GACGAACGCUGGCGGCGUGCUUAGCACAUGCAAGUCGAACGGAAAGGCCUCUUUCGGGGGGUACUCGAGUGGCGAACGGGUGAGUAACACGUGAGUAACCUGCCCUUGACUUUGGGAUAACUUCAGGAAACUGGGGCUAAUACCGGAUAGGAGCUCCUGCUGCAUGGGGGGGGGUGGAAAGUUUCGGCGGGUGGGGAUGGACUCGCGGCGUAUCAGCUUGUUGGUGGGGGAGUGGCUUACCAAGGCUUUGACGGGUAGCCGGCCUGGGAGGGUGACCGGCCACCUUGGGACUGAGAUACGGCCCAGACUCCUACGGGAGGCAGCAGUGGGGAAUAUUGCACAAUGGGUGGAAGCCUGAUGCAGCAACGCCGUGUGCGGGAUGACGGCCUUCGGGUUGUAAACCGCUUUCGCUCAUGACGAAGCUUUGUGUGACGGUAGUGGGUAAAGAAGCACCGGCUAACUACGUG
RNAcentral lists this ribosomal RNA (467 nucleotides) under uncultured bacterium. RNAcentral describes it as "partial 16S ribosomal RNA". It matches the Rfam family "Bacterial small subunit ribosomal RNA", at positions 28 to 507 of the family's 1533-position model. The record is from RNAcentral.